Molecule: ribosomal RNA, 508 nt
Filed under: uncultured bacterium
Lineage: Bacteria
Description: partial 16S ribosomal RNA
Rfam family: Bacterial small subunit ribosomal RNA
Source: RNAcentral
AUUGAACGCUGGCGGCAGGCCUAACACAUGCAAGUCGAGCGGCAGCGGGAAAGUAGCUUGCUACUUUUGCCGGCGAGCGGCGGACGGGAGAGUAAUGCCUGGGAAAUUGCCCAGUCGUGGGGGAUAACAGUUGGAAACGACUGCUAAUACCGCAUACGCCCUACGGGGGAAAGCAGGGGACCUUCGGGCCUUGCGCGAUUGGAUAUGCCCAGGUGGGAUUAGCUAGUUGGUGAGGUAAUGGCUCACCAAGGCGACGAUCCCUAGCUGGUCUGAGAGGAUGAUCAGCCACACUGGAACUGAGACACGGUCCGGACUCCUACGGGAGGCAGCAGUGGUGAAUAUUGCACAAUGGGGGAAACCCUGAUGCAGCCAUGCCGCGUGUGUGAAGAAGGCCUUCGGGUUGUAAAGCACUUUCAGCGAGGAGGAAAGGUUGAUGCCUAAUACGUAUCAACUGUGACGUUACUCGCAGAAGAAGCACCGGCUAACUCCGUGCCAGCCGCCGCGGUAA